AUGCCAAACACCCUCUUAAGACAAUACCUCCGGGGCCCGGGGGCCCGGCCGAGCGCUGCCGCCUCUCCUCGGCCAUAUAUAGGCAAAAGCCGGGGAACCCCUGUCCCCUCCCGGCUGGGAGCCCAGGGAGGCCACGGUGGCCUGGGCCUGACCCUCGCCACCCCGCACCCCCCGAGUGCCCGCCUCCGGCCAGGGGGCCCGGUGGGGAGGUGGCGCGGGGCCUCCCCGGUGCCCCCAGCAGCUCGGCCAGCGGCCGGCGCAGCCUCUGACCAAAUAAGGCUGGGGCCGCGGGGCCUGGACAGGCUCACCGGGGGCGGCGGGCCUCCCCGUCCGCCCUCCUCCCCGCCGUCCUGGCCACGCAGCCGGCCCGCAGGCCUGUCCUUACGCUGUCCCUGGGUGCAGGAGAGCCCGGCCCGAGCGGAGCCGGGGGUGCCCCCGGCGUCACCCGGGAGAGGAGGUUCACUAGGUCCCUUGGAAUGUUCCAUUUGGAACCUUCAGAAGCUCCAUUUAGGAUCUCGAGAGGAAGAUUCCUGCAAUUCCUGGGCAGCUACAGGGGGCCCCCCCACUCCCCCCUCCCAGCUUGGCCAGAGCCGCGGCCUGCCCUCCCCUCCCUGCUCUGCACGCGCACACCUGCCCCUGCACCCUGGGGGGGGGUGUCUGCUGCUUCCCCUCCCCUGUGGCUCACCAGGCACACCCGUCAGCCCUUCCUGGGGCCCGGUCCGUGAGUUCCGAGGGCGAGGCCAGCCAAAGGGCUAUAGGGUGGGGGCGGCCCGGGAACCCUGGGAAAAACUGACCCCUGCUUCCCUGGUUCCACCUGUGCCCAUGGUGAGGUGGGAGUGGAGCCCCGGAGGGAGGACCCAGCUUGAGCAGCCCCCUGAGGAACAGGCACCCUGCAGACAGGGACCUGGAAGAGGGGAUACACCUGCCAGAGGCACAGAGGAGGGCAGGGAGGCUUGUCCUAUUUCAGGAGCCACUGCGUGGCAUGGAGCUCCUGAGCCUGCCCGCCUUGGUUCCAGCAAGCAACUUCUUCUCUUCUUGGAACCUCAGUUUUUCCAUCCUGGAAAUGGGUAUAAUACACACCCUACCUACAUCAGGGGCAGCUGCAGGGAUUCAAUGGGAUAA
Molecule: long non-coding RNA, 1122 nt
Filed under: Canis lupus familiaris (dog)
Lineage: Eukaryota; Metazoa; Chordata; Mammalia; Carnivora; Canidae
Description: lncRNA (ENSCAFG00040017124.1)
Source: RNAcentral